Bos taurus (domestic cattle) is the source of this 763-nucleotide long non-coding RNA. NCBI's taxonomy places the organism in Eukaryota, Metazoa, Chordata, Mammalia, Artiodactyla, Bovidae. The record is from Ensembl.
AUGACAGAGGAUGAGAUGGUUGGAUGGCAUCACCGACUCAAUGGACAUGAGUUAGAGCAAGCUCUGGGGAGUUGGUGAUGGACAGGGAAGCCUGGCAUCCUGCUCUCCAUGGGGUUUCCAGGAGUCGGACACGAUUAAGCAACUGAACUGAACUGAGUGUUUGACUUAUAAUAUUUUUCAGAAUUAUUACUCUAUAAUUUUAAAAGUUGUCUGAUUUGAAGAACUGGAGUAAACUCACACUAGAAAAUAAAUUUCCUCUUGCUUAUCCUAUCCUAUCUGACUAUUCAAAAGAGAAGAAAUUCAAACUGGCAGUAAACUGUUACAAAAAUGGAGACAAGGUUGAGUUAGACAAUUCACUGGAUAACUUAUGUGAGAAAUAAACCAUAGGAUUUCAAUCCAAACUGGAACCAGAGUAUGUGAAACGGAAAAUCUCACGCAUGGACCCUCAGGAAAAUGAAACUUAAUAACAGGAAUAAUGAUUUCCCCUAGAAGCCUGAUUUACAGAAGAAUGGAAACUUAUUUUCUGACCAAUAAACAUGCGCCACGAGUCUCUCCUCAUACUUAAGCCAAUGGACUUACUGCUUGGACUUUGGCUGGAUGACCUGCUCUUUAUAUACCUUUUCCAUAAAUACAGUCUGUCCCAAAUCCUCAACAGACAUGCUUAAAGCUAGCUACAAUUUGCAUUUCCUAAAUUACAAUUCCUCUUCUAUUCCAGAGUAAACUCUUUGGCCAUUUAAACUUGCCUUGGUUUACCUCUUUAUUU